This 495-nucleotide ribosomal RNA is filed under the name uncultured bacterium. RNAcentral's name for it is "partial 16S ribosomal RNA". It matches the Rfam family "Bacterial small subunit ribosomal RNA", at positions 28 to 507 of the family's 1533-position model. The record is from RNAcentral.
GACGAACGCUGGCGGCGUGCCUAAUACAUGCAAGUAGAACGCUGAAGGAGGAGCUUGCUCUUCUGGAUGAGUUGCGAACGGGUGAGUAACGCGUAGGUAACCUGCCUGGUAGCGGGGGAUAACUAUUGGAAACGAUAGCUAAUACCGCAUAACAGUAGAUGUUGCAUGACAUUUACUUAAAAGGUGCAAUUGCAUCACUACCAGAUGGACCUGCGUUGUAUUAGCUAGUUGGUGGGGUAACGGCUCACCAAGGCGACGAUACAUAGCCGACCUGAGAGGGUGAUCGGCCACACUGGGACUGAGACACGGCCCAGACUCCUACGGGAGGCAGCAGUAGGGAAUCUUCGGCAAUGGACGGAAGUCUGACCGAGCAACGCCGCGUGAGUGAAGAAGGAUUUCGGAUCGUAAAGCUCUGUUGUAAGAGAAGAACGAGUGUGAGAGUGGAAAGUUCACACUGUGACGGUAUCUGACCAGAAAGGGACGGCUAACUACGUG